CCUACGGGAGGCAGCAGUGGGGAAUAUUGGUCAAUGGAGGAAACUCUGACCCCGCAAUGUCGCGUGAGUGAAUACGGUCCUCUGAUUUUUAAGUCCUUUUGUCAGGGAAGAAUAAAAUGACGGUACCUGACGAAUAAAGUCCGCCUAACAACUUGCCAUCAGCGGCGAGAGUAUGUAGGGCGGAAGCGUUGCUGGGGCUGACCGGGCGUCAAGGGUGCGUGGGGUGUUAUACAAGUUAGAGGUGAAAUACCCAGGGCUUCACUCGGGUGCUGCCUCUAAAACUGUAGGACUUGAGUGCGGGAGAGGUAAGUGGAAUGCGUAGUGUAGCGGUGGAAUGCAUAGAUAUUACGCAGAACCCC
RNAcentral lists this ribosomal RNA (359 nucleotides) under uncultured bacterium. RNAcentral describes it as "partial 16S ribosomal RNA". It matches the Rfam family "Bacterial small subunit ribosomal RNA", at positions 338 to 710 of the family's 1533-position model. The record is from RNAcentral.